Molecule: ribosomal RNA, 396 nt
Filed under: uncultured bacterium
Lineage: Bacteria
Description: partial 16S ribosomal RNA
Rfam family: Bacterial small subunit ribosomal RNA
Source: RNAcentral
AUACGUAGGUGGCAAGCGUUGUCCGGAAUUAUUGGGCGUAAAGCGCAUGUAGGCGGUUUGGUAAGUCGGUCGUGAAAAUGCGGUGCUUAACGCCGUAUGGCGAUUGAAACUGCUGAACUUGAGUGCAGGAGAGGAAAGGGGAACUCCCAGUGUAGCGGUGAAAUGCGUAGAUAUUGGGAAGAACACCGGUGGCGAAGGCGCCUUUCUGGAUGUUGUCUGACGCUCGGAUGCGAAAGCCAGGUUGGCGAACGGGAUUGGAUACCCCGGUAGUCCUGGCCGUAAACGAUGGGUACUAGGUGUGGGAGGUACCGACUCCUUCCGUGCCGGAGUUAACGCAAUAAGUACCCCGCCUGGGGAGUACGGCCGCAAGGCUUAAACUCAAAUGAAUUGACGGGG